Molecule: ribosomal RNA, 670 nt
Filed under: Favolaschia varariotecta
Lineage: Eukaryota; Fungi; Basidiomycota; Agaricomycetes; Agaricales; Mycenaceae
Description: eukaryotic LSU rRNA
Rfam family: 5.8S ribosomal RNA (bases 291-444)
Source: RNAcentral
CAUUAUUGAAUACGAUUGGCACUGAUGCUGACUCCUUUGUGGGUAUGUGCUCGUGUCAUCUUAUUUAUUCUUCUCUUGUGCACAUUUUGUAGUCAGAGAAUUGGAAUCUAUGCGCACUUUCAUUAGUUGCGGUCUUAGAGAUGAUUAAACCCUUCUCUUGUUCCUCUGCGCACUCUUUAUUGAGUUGUGGUCUGGGAGUUGCUUCACUGACUAUGUUUUUAUCUACACGUAUAAAGUCAUAGAAUGUUUUUUUAACUUGAUUGUGCUUGUCACGAUCGUUAAACCUAUACAACUUUCAGCAACGGAUCUCUUGGCUCUCCUAUCGAUGAAGAACGCAGCGAAAUGCGAUAAGUAAUGUGAAUUGCAGAAUUCAGUGAAUCAUCGAAUCUUUGAACGCACCUUGCGCCCUUUGGUAUUCCGAAGGGCAUGCCUGUUUGAGUGUCAUUAAAUUAUCAACCUUUCUCGCUUUUGUGGCUUGAGUUAGGCUUGGAUGUGAGGGUUGCUGGCUUUUGUGGUCUGCUCCCUUUAAAUACAUUAGUGGGAUUCCUUCUGUGGACCGUCACUUGGUGUGAUAAUUAUCUACGCCGCUUGACUUGCAGAGGUUGAGACUUGCUUAUAACCGUCCAUUGACUUGGACAAAAUUUACUUUGACAAUUUGACCUCAAAUCAG